GACAGAUAACUGCCAUAGAUCCCCUCCCUCAUCCCUGCAUCAGCACCACCCAGAUAGGACUGGAUGUCAUGGAAAAAAGAUCCUUCAAGGUGCUAAGCACCUUGCUUGAGGUGUUGGACAACAUCGUUCGGCUGUUGGAGAUGCCGGAGAUGGGCAAGGCAGUGAACAGGACGGCGCUCGAACUCUUCCUCAAAGACCGGGAACAGUUCAAUGAGGAAGUAAGAGCUGCAGUCAGGAAGCAACGGGAGAAAAAGUAAUAUUGUCACAUUUUCAAUUGGCACCAAGUGGACUUAGGAAGGUUCAUCGGCACAAGGUGUAGUCAAAGACGUGUCUGCUUUCAUCAGAUGUUUUCAUAUUUCUUUUCUUUUAAAUAAUGUCCGACACCUUCGUUCUUUCAAAUACAUAAGCCUCACAGAAUUAAACUGGAGUGGGAAUACAUAUAGUUCUGAAAUGGAUGUUAACCAUGCCUAUGACCAUUACAAAUUUGCUCGUGAACUCUUUUAUAAGUUUGUAAAGAUGGCAGUACUACAGAGUUAAAUAAGUUGUACCUAUUGUUGUAUAAUGUUUUGAAGUUAGUGUUCAUGUGUCAGUUUGUGCUGUUAGCAUGUGUGUGUGCGUGUGUGUUUUCACUUAAUUGAUGUGGCUGCUUCAUGUAUUCCAGUGGUAAGCAAGGCUACACCAAAAAAGGUUUAUUCAAUGUUUAUUACAAAACUUGAUUAUAUACAAUAUUAAAAUAUCCUCUCUGCAACUCCAGACAAUUAAUAAGGGUAGAGCUAAUACUAAGUACGCCAUGUAGUCUAGUUGUAGCAGGUCACAUCUACAGCAACACACACACCCUCCGCUGUACAAUAUUGCAGAAAUCCCUUAACGACACACCCAGUUACACUUUACAAAGUCUAUUUAACUUCGUAUUUUUAUUGGAACAUAAAGAGGUGAAUAAGGAGGUUGGUAACAAUUGGUAAUAUUUUAAGGUAUUUGAUAAAGCUUAUCAAAAUCA
Long non-coding RNA from Eriocheir sinensis (Chinese mitten crab), 997 nucleotides. RefSeq lists it as uncharacterized. The record is from RefSeq and is a predicted model, not a curated record. The transcript has 2 exons. NCBI's taxonomy places the organism in Eukaryota, Metazoa, Arthropoda, Malacostraca, Decapoda, Varunidae.